CGGCGCAGGCGUGGGCAGGAGGCGGCGCUCAUUUGGAUCAGACGGAGGCGGCAGACACGGUGACGUAUGGAGAGGGGGGGACGGCGCGGUGACGUAUGGCGGGGGGGGACGGUGCGGACGUGGGCAGGAGGCGGCGCGCAGCUAGAUGAGAGGUGUUUCCCCGAAAAGUAAGACAUAUGUCUUACUUUCGGGGUACGGCUUAUAUUAGCCGACCCCCCUGAAACCCCCGAUACGUCUUACAAUCGGGGGUGUCUUACUAUCGGGGAAACAGGGUAACUAGUUAAAAGUCGCUAACAAGCAAAUUGGCUUGAAAUCAACUUUGCACUAGUUUGAAAACUUUUAAACCAAUAUCAUCCAGUCUGCCACUAGCUAGCUAUUGUUUUGCUAGCUGGCUAGCUACCGUAAAUAUAAAGUAUCAGGCCUCAUUUAAACAGGAUUUAAAGGGGCUUCAAAUAUUUCAGGGGAUUUACUGAGACUGAAUUACUGAAGAGCUACCAAAAGGAAGGAAUCAUAUAAAAGUUAACAAAUAAAUUUAGUUGUAAAAAGUAGUGGAGAGAAGCUAACGCUUUCGACCUAAAUGUGACAUUAAUGUCAUAUGUGUUUCUUUUAAAGGAUGAACAAUCUUGAAAACACAAUUAUUAAUCUGAAUUUAAUUUGUCACUCAACUGAAAACGUCUCCAUUGACGCCAAGUUGAAAAACAGAUAAUCGAGGCGAAAAUGUUUCUUGAACAGCUGUUGUUCCUGCCCAGCCUGACUCAGUCAAAGCAAACUGUCCUCAUAAACAUUUCCCAGGAAGACCAAAGGACGACGUUUCAACAGAAACUCUGAAAUGUCUCUCAUUCCUCUGGGCGAUGGAAUUACAAAGAGCCGAGGCGACUUUUCAGAGAGGAAACAUCUUUAAAAUCUUCUCCACUUACCAGGAGUCUGCCCUGCGAACCGAACGUUGCAUCUGCAGUGGAAUAAACCGGAUUUAAAUGUUUCUGAAUGUUGGAUGGAACUACCCCUUUACCUCCAAGUGGAAUAUUGAAAAUAAAGGUGCCAUGCUUUCAGUGGAAUACCUCCGUUUUACCUGUGGACUGAUGGAUUUAAGUCCAACUGGAUCUCUGGGACAAAAUGGAGCGGCAUGGAACCAGCACUCUGCUGUCGUAGUCUGCAGCCUCUCUCUCUGCAUCAACAAGGGCCAAGGAACUUUAUUUCAUCCUAAUACGAGUUAUACUAGUAAUAAUAAUUAAGAAUAUAAUAAUAAUAAUAAUGAAACUGCUAAUAAUAAUUAAUAAUGAUAAUAAUGAGGACUUUUCUGGUUUCUUCAGACUGUCUUUACUUCUGUUUGAGUUGCCGACAGUACCUGGGCUUCUCGUUCAGCUCUUCCUCAAUAAGUACACUUUGACCUGGUGAACAGAAAUAAAUGGUGAACGAAGACGAAAGACGAGUAAAAGGCAACAGAAGUUUUACUUUAGUAAAAAGAAGGAAUGAGAGGAGACAGGAAGUGAAUGAGUGGUGGAUGGACAUGAACAGGAAAUUCAGUUUUAAAGGCAAAUUUCACCAGAAUUUCAUCAUAUUUUUUCUUAUCUUGGAGUCGUUAAGGCUGCGACUUCAAAAGGUUGGCAUGAGCUGAGGCUGUUAACUUUUACUCUGGAUAAUAUACUACUGUCGGCAAUGAAGUAGAGAAAUUAUGCAUGUUUGAUCAGAAAAACACAGUUACCUACAACACACACACACACACAGCAGGUGUGAUGAAUAGCUUCGAGUCAAACGUUCUGCCCUUUGUUUCGUCUCUCAGGAGUCGUCCCUCUUCAACAGGGUGACAUCAUCCCUCGCUUUUUGCAUCCGUUAUUUCUCCGUCCUCCCGUUUAUUCCUCUCCCUCUGGCGGACAUUGUGACCUCGCUGCCGGCGAUUUUGGCGUCAAAACGCCUCGACAUGUCAAUGAAUCAGCGUCCCAAAAUGUCAGGUCUGCAACCAUGGCGACCCGUUAUCCGCUCGGCGUCCCGUAGCGUCACGGCCAGAAGCGCAGAGCUCCACUUGGAGUCAGAAACCGUCCUGCUGCCUCCUGGCAGAAAUACGGCAGAUUUCUGUCCUUAGUUUCUGAACGUCAACGAGACUUUGGGGGUUUUACAUCAGCAAACGACCCAACAUCAAGUUUUACUUUAGCUGAAUGGCCCUAUAACUAUUCAUGGGAGAUAAAGAAGGUCAGGGUUAGA
Molecule: long non-coding RNA, 2199 nt
Organism: Poecilia latipinna (sailfin molly)
Lineage: Eukaryota; Metazoa; Chordata; Actinopteri; Cyprinodontiformes; Poeciliidae
Exons: 3
Source: RefSeq, a predicted model, not a curated record